UAAUACGUAGGGGGCAAGCGUUGUCCGGAUUUACUGGGUGUAAAGGGCGCGUAGGCGGAUUUAUAAGUCAGAGGUGAAAUCCUGCAGCUUAACUGUAGAAUUGCCUUUGAUACUGUAGAUCUUGAGUUCGGAAGAGAGUAGCGGAAUUCCAGGUGUAGUGGUGAAAUACGUAGAUAUCUGGAAGAACACCAGUGGCGAAGGCGGCUACUUGGUCCGUAACUGACGCUGAGGCGCGAAAGCGUGGGGAGCAAACAGG
Molecule: ribosomal RNA, 256 nt
Filed under: uncultured bacterium
Lineage: Bacteria
Description: partial 16S ribosomal RNA
Rfam family: Bacterial small subunit ribosomal RNA
Source: RNAcentral